CAGUCGCCACGGGAAUACGUAGGGUGCGAGCGUUAAUCGGAAUUACUGGGCGUAAAGCGUGCGCAGGCGGCUUUGCAAGACAGAUGUGAAAUCCCCGGGCUCAACCUGGGAACUGCAUUUGUGACUGCAAGGCUAGAGUGCGGCAGAGGGAGAUGGAAUUCCGCGUGUAGCAGUGAAAUGCGUAGAUAUGCGGAGGAACACCGAUGGCGAAGGCAAUCUCCUGGGCCUGCACUGACGCUCAUGCACGAAAGCGUGGGGAGCAAACAGAAUUAGAUACCCGCGUAGUCCCUGUCUCUUAUAC
RNAcentral lists this ribosomal RNA (301 nucleotides) under uncultured bacterium. RNAcentral's name for it is "partial 16S ribosomal RNA". It matches the Rfam family "Bacterial small subunit ribosomal RNA", at positions 509 to 807 of the family's 1533-position model. The record is from RNAcentral.